Molecule: long non-coding RNA, 1576 nt
Organism: Ailuropoda melanoleuca (giant panda)
Lineage: Eukaryota; Metazoa; Chordata; Mammalia; Carnivora; Ursidae
Exons: 3
Source: RefSeq, a predicted model, not a curated record
CGCCGACGUGGAGACCCUCCCAGGAGGUUCUCGUGGCUGGGGUGGAAUCUUCGGUGAGGGGCUGCCUACCCGGAGAGCUACGGGGUCCCAUUUGCAGAGAUCCGCAGCGACAUGCCAAUGUCAUGUUGGUGGCAGAAGGCAAAGGUCAUGUUUACUGCAAGCAGAGGUGCCCGGAGCUGCCACGGGGGCUGCCGGCAGGGGAUCCUGAAGAGGAGCACGGCUGUGGCUGUGAAUCCACGCUUGCCUGACGCAGAGCCUCAAACCUCAAACCACAGGGCGAGGGAUCAGAGCUCAGGGGAAUCGCCCGGCGGAUCCAUGCUUUGUAUCUGGGCUGGAGGGCUACCCGAAACCGCAGCCUCCAGGUUGGAAGGGAAGGUAAGCAUCUCAUCCCAGUUUGCCUUGAUUCUGUGUUCUCCUGUCCUGUGAAACUCCUUGAUCCCAGGCAAACCUGGACGCUUGGUCACUGUACAGGCCAACCCGAGUUUGACUGGGGGAUGAUUAGAAGUAAAGUGCCUCAUGGACCAUUUGCUCCUAGGCUGACCCUCCCUGUCUUAAAGCCCAGGAUUUGGCAAAAGGGGCCUAACAAGGGAUAAUGGUCCUUGGCUUCAUUUCUCGUUAAUGGCUUUAAUUGGAGCUGGGGUUAUCUGGCCGGGAAACUUCCACCCAGCCUGCUGGGCAAAUCCCCUCCCCACUGGGCCAAGUCAUCAGGCAGAUUUGUGUGGGGCGGCAGGGACACAGCUUUCCCUUGCUCUUCUCCAGGAAGAAUCCGCGCAGGAUGCUUAGGGGAUGCCGCCGCCCAUUUGCCUUCUGGGGCAGACCCGUAGGACGAAGCUGGGUCUCCACCGACCCUGAUCCACCCGGAAAGUGAGGAGCUGUUGCACUCCACCCUGGAGCCCACCUCUGUGGCCCCUCUUGGACCUUGUCCUCAGCAUCAGGGAGAAGCUAGAACGGAGACUUCCAGAAAUCAGCUAGCCUGACGCAUCCGAGCCAAGCACUACAGCUUGUGACUGCCAACUUGCUGUCGGACAUUGGGGGGCAGCACCACAGCCUGUCCUGACUGGGAGGAGACACAGAUCAGCAUCCCCAGCGUCCUUCAGUCCUUCCAACUUCCUCCCCUGAGCUCUAGGCAAGGGUAAAGAGUGCUAAUGAGUAUCAAUAUUUGGGGAGCAUUCGAUAUACGUGUUUUAAUUGAAAGAUGUGGUUUAGGAGUUAUAGUACUUAAUUUCAGGCUAUUGAUUUACACGAACAUACUAUUUCUGCAGUACGCACUGCAUAACAAUACAUAAGCUUGCAGUUCAAGGAAGCCAGUGUUGUCUGAGUAUAUGAAUGUGUCAGUUUCCUAUUGCUGCUGUAACCAAUUACCACAGACUUAGUGCCUUUAUUAAACAACACAAAUUUAUUAGCUCACAGUUCUGGAAGUUAGAAGUCCAGAAUAGGUCACUUACUUUUCCCUACCCUCUAACCCUUAACAACCACUAAUGUGUUUUCUGCCCCUAUGGAUUUGCCUCUUCUGGAUGUUGCAUAUAAUUGGAAUCAUACACUCUGUGGCCUUCAGUAAAUAAAUGGCACCUUUCAC